AUACCUUUCUCGGCCUUUUGGCUAAGAUCAAGUAUUUUUUAUCAGUUUAAUAUCUGAUACGUGGGUCAUGUGUCCGCUAUGAUAUUAAAUUUAUUUUUUUGGGGAAGUGUCCACCACAGUAGCUUGCCACUGAGGUGAGGGAUUUUUUCUAUUUAUAUGUUGGUGUAACUAUU
This 173-nucleotide small nuclear RNA is filed under the name Leersia perrieri. RNAcentral describes it as "U2 spliceosomal RNA". It matches the Rfam family "U2 spliceosomal RNA". Rfam says of the family: U2 is a small nuclear RNA (snRNA) component of the spliceosome (involved in pre-mRNA splicing). The record is from Rfam by way of RNAcentral. Lineage: Eukaryota; Viridiplantae; Streptophyta; Magnoliopsida; Poales; Poaceae.